This 255-nucleotide ribosomal RNA is filed under the name uncultured bacterium. Its description in RNAcentral is "partial 16S ribosomal RNA". It matches the Rfam family "Bacterial small subunit ribosomal RNA", at positions 524 to 776 of the family's 1533-position model. The record is from RNAcentral.
UACGUAGGGUGCAAGCGUUGUCCGGAAUUAUUGGGCGUAAAGAGCUCGUAGGCGGUCUGUCGCGUCUGCUGUGAAAACUCAGGGCUUAACCCUGAGCUUGCAGUGGGUACGGGCAGACUAGAGUGCGGUAGGGGGAGACUGGAAUUCCUGGUGUAGCGGUGAAAUGCGCAGAUAUCAGGAGGAACACCGGUGGCGAAGGCGGGUCUCUGGGCCGAUACUGACGCUGGAGGAGCGAAAGCGUGGGGAGCGAACAGG